Molecule: small RNA, 525 nt
Filed under: Histoplasma capsulatum var. duboisii H88
Lineage: Eukaryota; Fungi; Ascomycota; Eurotiomycetes; Onygenales; Ajellomycetaceae
Description: Histoplasma capsulatum H88 hypothetical RNA
Source: RNAcentral
CCAUCCUGUUCAAUAUACGGAAUACAUCGGCAUUUUAUUCGCAAUCCUCUUUCGCCAGAAUGAUAAUCGAGGAUUGCCGCCACAGGCCGGGAUACAUUAACGUGGACUCCGUGCAGAGUACUCCGUACUGAGCACAGUGUUUUCCGUACUAUCAUCAUGUGUCCCUUUAGCCCACUUUCCCGGGGAGGGGGUCUAUGAUAGACAAGUGCGCACGGGGAUAGAGGAACGACAGAUCACACUAUUCUUUGAUUUUAUCCUUUACGCCUGAGCGCCUGCGUCUCUUUGCUGGAUAUGGAUGUGGAUCUGGAGGGCUUGCAGCCGAAUGCCACUAACGAGGGCGACGAGGAAUAAAUAGGAUUGCGAGCUGAGCUGGGCAAAUUCGCCGUGGAGAGAGCCUGGCGCCAGCCCGGCAGUGACCAAUCAGUUUAUUUUUCAAGAGCAGCAUCAAAGAGAACCGCUUAUGUGGUGUGCAUCACUGAGAGAUGAAAGCCGGUAUCAUCCAGGAUUCUAUUUUGUAGACGAGAG